GGCACCGUGGGGGACAGUGGGGACACCACGAAGGACGGGAGGGCGGUGAGGACUUCGUGGGUGCCCUCAGAGGGGACAUCAGAGGGGAUGGUGGGGUUGUGGGGAUUCCAUAGGGGAUGAGAGGGUCAUGGGGACACUAUAGAGGGCAUGGGGAGUCCUUAGGGGAUGGUGGGGUCGUGGGGACUCCAUAUGGGACAAUGGAGACGCCAUAGAGGACAUGGAGGUGGUGAGGACUACAUAGGUGUCCCGGGGACAUCACAGGGGACGGUGGGGUUGUGGGGAUUCCAUAGGGGACGAGAGGGUCACGGAGACACCAUAGAGGACAUGGAGGGUCCUUAAUGGGGACACCACGGGGGACAUCGGGACACCUUAGGGGAUGAUGGGGUCGUGAGGACACCAUGGGGGAUGUGGGGAGUCCUUAGGAGAUGACAAAGUCACGGGGACACUAUAGAGGGCAUGGGGAGUCCUUAGGGGAUGAUGGGGUCGUGGGGACUCCUUAUGGGACAAUGGAGAUGCCAUAGAGGACAUGGAGGUGGUGAGGACUUCGUGGGUGUCCUCAGAGGGGACAUCACAGGGGAUGGUGGGGUUGUGGGGAUUCCAUAGGGGAUGAUGGGGUCAUGGGGACACCACAGGGGACAUCGGGAGUACUUAGGGGAUGAUGGGGUCGUGGGGACUCCAUAUGGGACAAUGGAGAUGCCAUAGAGGACAUGGAGGUGGUGAGGACUACAUAGGUGUCCCGGGGACAUCACAGGGGACGGUGGGGUUGUGGGGAUUCCAUAGGGGACGAGAGGGUCACGGAGACACCAUAGAGGACAUGGAGGGUCCUUAAUGGGGACACCACGGGGGACAUCGGGACACCUUAGGGGAUGAUGGGGUCGUGAGGACACCAUGGGGGAUGUGGGGAGUCCUUAGGAGAUGACAAAGUCACGGGGACACUAUAGAGGGCAUGGGGAGUCCUUAGGGGAUGAUGGGGUCGUGGGGACUCCAUAUGGGACAAUGGAAAUGACGUGGAGGUGGUGAGGACUUCAU
Long non-coding RNA from Gallus gallus (chicken), 1029 nucleotides. Lineage: Eukaryota; Metazoa; Chordata; Aves; Galliformes; Phasianidae. The record is from Ensembl.